Molecule: long non-coding RNA, 5198 nt
Filed under: Hordeum vulgare
Lineage: Eukaryota; Viridiplantae; Streptophyta; Magnoliopsida; Poales; Poaceae
Description: long non-coding RNA (HVUL_LNC002965)
Source: RNAcentral
UGAUACAGGGACAAUUACUUAAAGCAUAUAGCUUUUCUGCAAUGUCGUGAUCCAGUAUUUGCCAUACCUAUGAAAGGCAAUAUAUAGACAAACAUAAAUUGAGUAUGCUGCCCUAAACUGCAACAUGCAAAGUGAAGUACAACCAAGGUCCAAUUCAUGGCUAGACAUCAAAUCUUACAACAAUUUAACUUCCACAAAUAAAACUAUAUUUAUUGUUUGUUUCUACAUACCAUUACUUAAAAUGAAAUUGAGACUACAUAAAAGUUAAAUAAAGAACAGUGGGUGGUAUGAAGUUCACUGUUUUGAAGCUGCCUGUUUUGAGUAAAGAUGUAGAACAAGCAGUAUGAUGAUAGUAAAGAAUAAUUGAAUACAAAGGUUGAGUCAAUGGAAAACCAUACAGAGAUAUUUCGUUGAAACAAGGAACUAAAACCACAUAAGUAUUUCCAAACGGAGGGAGUAUGUUUUAGCUUCUUAUUCAUUCGCCAAUAAUGUUUGUUCACUGAAUAGAUAGGAAUAAGUGAUAUUUUGGCUAUUCCAUUUCAGCUUUUGCAUUAAAUGAUGGAUAGGAGCUGGAUGAGUAAACUAAGAACCAGUGCAGAGUACAAACAUGGUGUUGAGCAGUUCCUUUCUUUUGCAUUCCAUGAUGUAAGAGAUGGUUUCAAGAUUCUGUGUCCAUGUGUAAAUUGCGCAAACAAGAGGAUGCAAACUUACGAUGAAGUAAAAACCCAUUUGAGAUGCCAUGGCAUCCUACAAGGAUAUACAACAUGGAUCUGCCAUGGAGAGCAAUUUCAUUCAUGUGAAGAUGUAUUUGACGAUGUGCUGCAUACCUCAAACAAUGCAUCUAUUUCAUAUAUCCAUGCGUAUGUUCCAAGACAAGGUGACUCUAGUAGACUAGAUGACACAUGAGGGCUCCUUAAUGCUGUUUUCAACAUGCCAGAUUAUGAUUCACUGGAUAGCAUAUCAGAUGAUGAUAAAGUUGUGCUCUCCAAUGAAGAAGGAAAUUUUCCAACUUUAUAUGAUGAGCAACUUGAGGCCCCUGAUAGAAUGGCUACAUCACCAGCAGAAGAGAAUGUUGCCACUGAAGGUCAAGAUGGGAGCAAAAAAGAAGAAACAUUUUUAAGCUUCUUGAAGGAUGCAGACUCAAACUUGUACGACGUAUGUCAAAUUUUUUCAAAGCUAUCCUUCUUAGUCAGGUUAUUUCACUUGAAGGUUUUACAUGGGUGGACUCAAGCAUCAUUCAAAUCGGUACUUGAUUUAUUAUCUGAUGCUUUUCCUGAAGAUGCAAGUCUACCAAAGAACUACCAUGAAGCAAAGAAAAUCAUUCAUGGUUUGGGUCUUAGCUACUAGAAAAUUCAUGCAUGUCCGAGAGAUUGCAUGCUCUAUUGGGGUGAGAGGGCUAACCAACAGUCUUGCCAUGUCUGUAAAAGCUCUCGAUGGGCUGAUAGAGACAAUGAUGAUAAAGAAACAAAUUCAAGGCAUAAAUAAAAGCCUGCGAAGGUAUUGCGCUACUUUCCACUGAUACCUAGACUGCAGAGGUUGUAUGAGACUAAUAAAACAUCAAAUGAUAUGAGGUGGCAUGAAGAGGGUCGUACAAAAGAUGGAUUGGUGCGCCAUCCAGCAGAUGGAGAAGCAUGGAAAGAUUUGGAUGCUCAUUAUCCUGACUUUGCCAAGGAUUGUCGCAACAUACGUCUUGGCAUAGUUAGUGAUGGGUUCAGUCCGUUCAGAAACAUGAGGUCAAAGCAUAGUACUUGGCCAGUGAUGCUUAUUCCUUACAACCUACCUCCCUAGAUUUGCAUGAAAGACACAUCUUUAAUUAUAUCAAUGAUCAUACCAGGACCCAGUAGUCCAGGGAAUGAUAUAGAUGUCUAUUUGCAGCCAUUAGUUGAAGAGCUCUUGCAACUAUGGAAAGGUGUGGACACAUUUGAUUGUACUACUAAAAAAAACUUUCGCCUCCAGGCUGCAUUCUAUGGACACUUAAUGAUUUCCUGCAUUAGCAUACUUAUAUGGUUGGAGUACAAAGGGGAGAUAUGCAUGUCCAUCUUGUGGGGAUUCUACAAGAUCAGUUUACCUAAAGAAAGGGAAGAAAUUUUCUUAUAUGGGCCAUCGUCGAUGGUUGCCACCUAUCGCCGGCAAAAGAAGAAGUUUGACGGAACUGUUGAGAAUGAACUUGCACCAAAAACUAUGAGUGGGAGUUCAGUGUUGAAAAUGUUGGAAGGAAGGGUGUUUGUGUAUGAAAAAAAAAAUAUGAGCCGUCAAAGAAAGGACAUACUGGAAAGAAAGCAAAAUCUAAGGCCAAAGGGAAAAGCAAUACGGGUAAAAACAAAAGAAAAAGAGAAACAUGCAAGAGAAAGUUAACUGGAGGCUCAACUAAGAACAAAAAGGAGCCAAAGGAGUGGCUGAAGAAGAAAUCAAUAUUCUUUUCCUUGCCAUACUGGGAGCACAACUUAUUGCGGCACAAUCUCGAUGUGAUGCACAUAGAAAAAAAUGUUUGUGAUAAUUUAAUAGGGACACUGCUAAAUAUUGAUUCUAAGUCAAAAGGUAAUCGAAAUGGUCGACUUGAUCUGGUAGAUAUGGGAAUUAGAGCUGCACUCCAUCCCGAUGAAGAUGACAAAGGUAAAGAACAGCUGCCACUUGCACCCUUUAAUAUGACAAAGGAACAAAAGGAGGCUCUCUGCUCAAUUAUUCAAAAACUUAGAACACCCGACGGUUAUGCAUCAUUCUUAUCAAGAUGUGUCGAUAUGAAGGAGCUUACAAUUAAGGGCCUGAAAAGUCAUGAUUGUCAUGUUCUUAUUGAGGAUAUUCUUCCAGCCGCACUGCACUCGUGUCAUCCAAGCAAAGAUGUUAUGAACAUUGUUUGUGAGUUAGCUGAUUUCUUCAAGAAUUUGUGCUCUAAGGUAUUAAGUAUCGCCGAGCUUGACAAAAUACAAAAUAGAAUUGUCCAGACACUUUGCAAUAUGGAAAAAAUAUUCAUUCCGUCAUUUUUUACCAUCAUGGUACAUUUAAUGGUGCACUUAGUGGAUGAAGUUAAGCUUGGGGGACCAGUACAUUAUAGGUGGAUGUAUCCUAUAGAAAGGCAAGUAAUCUAGUAUUUUGUACUUUGUAUCUUGUUUAGUUCAUGAUUCUAUCUUACAGAUUGUGUGCAAUUUAUGUUCAGGUACUUUGUCCGACUUAAGGCAUUUGUGCGCAAUUGAGCUCAUCCAGAAGGAUCUAUGGCAGAAGAAUACAUUGCUGAUGAAUGUAUGACAUUUUGUUCAAGAUUUAUAGAUGGACCAACUAGGUUCACAAGACCAGAGACAAACCCAAAUCCAUCAGACGAGAUACACGAUUCUUAUAUGUUUGAGAGUGCCGGUGAACUUGUAGGAAAAAUUGACAGUGUGUACCAGUUUAAUGAUCACUCGCUCAUUCAAGCACAUCGCUAUGUUCUGCGACAUUGUGAUGAAAUCGCCGACCUUCGAAGGUGCGCGAGAAUAAUCAACUACUCCCUCUGAUCCUUAUUAAUUGAUGCACAUUUAGUACAACUUUGUACUGAAGUUGUAGUAAGUGUGCAUCAAUUAAUUUAGAUCAGAGGGAGUAUAUAUUUUUACUUUGCACUUGAGUAAUGCUAAAUAUUUAUUUUUUCCAAAAAUUACACUAAUAGUAAUCCAUCUUACUUAUAUAGAGAAUUCCUGCACAUGGAGAAAAGUAAAGAAGAAGUUGUACGAGAUCUGACGUCACAUGAUGAGGAGCAGUUUAUCAAUGAACACUUUGCUGAUUGGUUAGAGCAAAAGGUACAUCACAAUUAACUUAGCAUCACAAAUUUUAUUGUUCUAUGGGUAAAAUAUUGUUGUUUUAUAGGUGCUAUUCGAUGACAGGCCUAAUUUAAUCAAGAAGGUAUGGCACUAGCUAGAAAGCCAAACAAGUCUGGGCUGCGGUAUAGUGGUGUUGUAAUCAAUGGGUAUCGGUUCCACACUAUUAGUGUGAGGAAGGACGCAAGACACAAAACAGUGGUGUGGUAAUCAGGUCAGAUAAGGGCAUUAACUACUAUGGCAGAUUGUCUGAUAUAAUAGAGAUAUCAUACGAAGACCAAUACAAGGUUGUGCUCUUCAAAUGUGAGUGGUAUGACGUACACAACCGUGCAGGUCUGCAAACAGAUGAAUUUGGAUUCACUCUUGUAAACUUUUCUCAAAUGAUGCACACAGGAGAAGAACUAGAAGACGAACCAUUCGUUUUUUCUUCUCAAGCUGAACAAAUAUUUUACAUAGAAGAUGGAAAAAACUGAAGAAUGGCAUGUGGUGAGGCAAUUCAGGCCAAGAGAUCUAUUUGACAUGGGUACGGAAUCAUCUUUGAAUAAUGCAGUGUGGGAUGUAGAUGGAAAUAAGAUCCCGAACCAUAUUGACAUUUACUGUGAAAUUAAUGUUUUAUUUACUUAUAUUGCCUUAUUUGAAGUUUUUGUACACAGACAAAACAUUUUUUAUCAAUUGGAAGUUCUCUGUAUUGAAAUGGCUUACCCCAACAAUUGUUGUUGGCUGGAAAGCUACCAUGCUUUUAAGUAUAUAGUUUCACCAUUCGAUAUCCCUACCUGCAUGAACACACAAUUGACAAUCAGUGUCAUACUUCUAUUAUGAGUACUGAAAAUGAACAUUGUAAUAGUAAGGUAAUAGGGGCCUAGUAUAAGUACCUGUACACCACACUUCUCCUUUGUCUGUAUGAGCAAAGGCUGUGUUAAUUAAAACACGCUUCAAAUUAUAACUUCGUCCAUGGCCUAUUAUGGCAAAUAAUUAAAUCAACAACUUUACCAUGUACUAGCUAAUCACUAAACAUUCUCAGCUAUGACUGGUUUUUUUCACUUUGGCAAGUAGAAUCACAAUCCUUGCUAACAAGUGCAAUCAUACUAGUCGCCAAUCACAAGAAUGUCACCUUGUUCACUUCAGAUUAUGCAUUCAGACAUAAUCUGAAUUGUUCAAACUCCCUGCUAAAAUAAUCCAACCUCAAAAUGCAAAGAAUAAUCAAACAUGCCGAAUCAUCAUCCUCACAUUCGACCACCAGCCCGACAUGGCCGUCGUGAGGCUGGGCGGCGUCGAGCACUCCCUUGACAUCUGCACUUCAUGGUACGGAUGCUCCUGGACGGCUAGCAUCGAGGGGCGGCAGACCUCCGGAUGAGUUCGACGAGCACCUCUCCACGAGCAGAACCUAUGCGAUGCCAACGAGGGAUGCUCCUG